This 356-nucleotide long non-coding RNA is filed under the name Homo sapiens (human). RNAcentral describes it as "non-protein coding lnc-RCBTB2-2:5". The record is from RNAcentral. Lineage: Eukaryota; Metazoa; Chordata; Mammalia; Primates; Hominidae.
CAGUCCCUCUGCUAUGGCUCUUCCUCAGUAGAAACAACUGGCAACAAAAUUCAAGUUUAUGAUUCAUUCAUCAGCAAACAUGUGAGAAUCAUCUACAAAGAACCAAGAAUUGUGGUGAAAACUCCAAAGCUUAACAUUCUAACCACUCUAGGGAGGGAGGAUGGGAGGAAGAGAGCUGAGUGUGCACCAAGGAGCGGUAAGAUGCCAGACCUGUGAGUGAAGAAGCAUCUUGGAAGUGGACCCUAUAGCUCCAGGCACCUGCUGACACAUAGUCGGAGACAAACCACCCAGUCAAGUUCAACCCAAAUUCCUGACCCAAAAAAUCAUAAGCAAAAUAAAAUAUUUGUUUAAAGCCA